CAUUGAAACACAUCUAUCUCUGUUCCGAGUUGGUUUUGUAUAUUUAUGUUCGGUAUUUUCCGAAUUUGUUGCUGUUGUUGUGUGGACAGACUUUUAACAAAAAUGCCAUCCUGAGUUAUUGGCUGGAUUCUUUCAUUGCUAUAACACACAAAGACAUUUUCAACGUAUUGUUGUAUGUGUGCAUUCAAGAGAAGCGGACCCAGGAACCAUGAAGUCCCCCAUUCGCUUGUAGUCACUGCUGUCCUCAAGUCCACAAAAACACUCCGUAUGUCUCUUCUGAACUACAUUUUUUACCCUGUUUGUAAAUGUCACUGAGUCAAAGAAAGGUGUAAAUUAGCAAUCAGCGUAAUCUGACUGCUCCUUAUACCAGACGUGUACUGAACAUGGAUGACAGAAAGCAUGGCGCCUUCUUUUUGAGUAGUUUUGUACAGCCAUGUUAAAUAUGAGCAUGUUCAAGUUUUUGCAGAAUGAAUCUCCAGGACUAGACAGCCUACACCUGUAAAGUUUACUAUCUCUUUUAGUCCUUCAGUUCAUUAAAAUGCAUUUUCAAUACAAACAUACAGUAGACUAUUCCACUGUAUUUCAUUUUAUCUUGCAUCUUCUCCCAUGAAAACUAUUCUACCCUGGCUCUGUCUUACUAUUGCUUUUGGGUGCUGUGUGAACAAUAAAUAAACACUCUAUGCCCUUAUAGAUAAAUACCUAAUUAUUCAUUUAAAUUAUGAUAAACAAAUGAAUACCCUUUAUCCGCUAGCAUCAUCAGCGUUAACACAGCAGCAGUCAUCAUCGCAAGUUGACAGUAGUUAAACCUAAACUUGUAAUCUGUAUAUAAUGAGAACAACCACUGUUUGUCUCACUGGUUAAAUGAUCAAAGGUUGGAGGUCUGUCUUGGUUGCUGUGGUAGCCAUGUGUCAAUCACACCCUAGAAUUUGAACAUUUAAUCCUAAACCAAACCAGUGUCAGAAAAAAUGAUUUCAUGCUGCAUUAAAGAAGAUUUGAAACUAGCCAAGACCUUUACCUCAACGUAUGAAAUAUUAAGAGUACUAAAAAACAAUGAUGACUUAGGAGAGGUUUUACAUCUGGUCCCAAACAAAUACUUUUCUUUUUGGAUCCAUGAAAGCCACACCCAAUACCCUAUUGGAAAUUUAAUGUAAAGCUGUAUUACCAUCACAUCUAAGACGAGAAAAAGAGCAGUAGAAAGAUCCAAACACAGGUGGUGUCAAAUAGUCUGUCUAAAUGAAAGAAGAAACUUUAAAAUAAAGAUGCUUUCAUGCAUGUCCCCAGGAAAGAAAUUUACACAAGAUAGAUUCAGCACAAGGCUGUGGAGGACUGUGCUGUUCCCGCAUAGCAAAAAGGUUCCUGUUUGCACCUUGGGCCUUUUUUGUGUGUUGAGAUUGCACAUUCUCCCUGGGCAUCCAUUGGUUUCAGAAGGAAACUCUGACUGACCCCCCAGAGUCCAAUAAGAUUCUUGUUGGUUCAAGGGCUACACAGCAACUGGCUGUAUUGUGAUUGUCUAAUUGUUUGUGUAUAUUAUCCCUGUUCUUGGCUGGUGACCUGUUCAGGGUGUCCCCUACCCCUCCCCUAGUGAGAUAUGGAAUGGGCUCCAGCCCCCCAACCCCCAAAAUAAGAUAAUCAAUAUACUGUAGAUAAUGAAUGACCAAGGUUGGCACAACACCCAGAUUGCAUUACAGGAAUAUGCACAAAACAUGUUCACAAAGUCGUCCUCCGUUGUACCAUUUUAAGUGUAUUUGCGUUGUAAAUUGUUACAGACCUGAAUGCUUGACCCUACAGAAAUGCUGUAGGGGGUGUUUUUCCCAGCAUGGUUUGGUUUCAUAUGUUUCCUCAGAGGGAGAGGUUGUUGUAAAUCAAUACAAAUGUAUUCUGGGUUAUUAUUUAAAUUCUGUGGGGAGACACUUAUAUCCUGAUGAGAGCGCUCUUUACCAGAGUGAUAGUGACCUCAGUCUGAGGGCAAAGAGGGUCACUGAAUGAUUUGAUGAGUAUGAAUACAUUGUGAAUAUUAUGCUCGGCUAUGCAUUUAUCAGACUAUAAUCUGUUAACAGCUAAAGACAUUUUUAAAUUAAAUCCAACACACAGGGGGGAAUCUUUAUAGAAAAAUGUUACUCCAUUAUUGCUCAAGGAGGAAAAUGUCCUGGCAGCACAUGAUGCCAGAUUAUGAGUUUUCCCCUUCCCUUCUUUUUUGUUUAUAUGCUUUUGUACUGAGAUUUUGACCAUCUCAAACCGAGUCACUUGACAAGCUUUCAGUCGGAGGCUUUAAAAACAAACAAUAAGUUCUUUCCACACUGACGUUUGAAUAAAAUACUCACUGAUCCAACCAAAAAAUUAAAAUCUCUAUACACCCCGGAUCAUGGAGAAGUAUUCUAAAACGGGUCCUAAAAUUCUAAAUUUAAAUAGCUUUUUUCUUUUUUUGUAACUAUUCUCUUUAUCUUUGUUUCAACAUAUGAAAAGACCUUUCUUAGUCUAAUCUUCAGGGAGGAUUCUGGCUUGGACAGAAUCCAGGUUUAUUCAAGCUUUAUACGUCUGAGUACCAGAAGGAUGCUUAGUCCUAUUCUUAAUCUGUCGGUCUAUUCCUUCUUCAGCUUAAACCCUUCACGUCUCUUUGGUUUGUUCUUGUCUCCAACCCUGUAGAGAGUUGUGUUUUGCUGACUGUACUUGUCAAACUCAAGCAAAGUAAGAAUCAACUACAAGAUCCUCUCUUGUGUCUAAAUUUAUGAGCUAUCCAUGAGUCAACCAGACAAGUCAAGAAGAUACUUCUCUACUCCCAGGCUGUAUAACAUUGAAUUCCUACAUGGAGAAAUGUAACAUGGUGGCAGGGGAAUACUGUGACAUAAAGUAAAAAGUGAAGUACACAUUAUGGAGCAAUAGAAUACUUCAGCCAUACAUUAUUAAUGUGAGUGUAAGAGUGUGUAAUCUAUUACUGUACGAGUCUUCUCCCCUGGGGCUGUAGCUAGAUCUAUGACAGCAUAUGUUUAACUCUCCAGUGAGUUAUUUCCAUUAUGACUGACCCAAAGAAACACACAUACACUUAAAUGUACAUACCUUCAAAGUUAGGCAUCUUUUCAUCUCUCUACAUCGUCUCAUUUUUCUUCCCUGACUCGAACACGACUGUCCUCAUUUCAAGCUUUUUACGGAUCAAUGACUAUCCAUUUCGGCAUCUGUUUCCCAAAAUGCAUCUUGGUGACCACUCCUACAAGAAGGCUCUAAUAGCCAUUUACUGUUGUCCCUUCUCAAGGACACUUUUCUUUGUUUCAUCAUGAUUCACACUCCGUAAUCAGUCCUAAAUAAACCAUUAAUCCUCCCAGGACUUUCUCCAGUGAAUGAAAUCAACCAAUCAACUAUAUGACAGUAAUUGAGUCAAGCAUGUGUGUGUAAUAGUGAAAAAUGAUCGUGUCUGUGUCCUAUUUUGCCAUUUUUACCUUCCUCCACAUUGUAUUGUUGAAUAUAAUUAGCUAAAAUUAACCCACAAUGCAGCUCAGGCAGCAUGAAUGAUAUGUCUGCGCUCCCUUGAGUGUGUGGGAGUUUGUUUGUAGGUGAUGCAUGAGAGAAUAUCAAUAAACCUGUCAUGCCAAGCUAUCUCCUCCUAUGCUUCUUUCAUGCAAACAGCACAUAUCUCCCUGUCAGUGGACUAUAAAGUGACAUUUUGCUAUUUUCUGAUGCUUUUAAUUCUUUGUACAGGCUUCUUCGUCUUCUGCAUCCCUGCAGCUUCACGUGUUCUCUUCAUGUACAUUUAUCAUCCCACUGUGGACAUGUGCUGUGACAGAUAGGAUGGAUAGUCCAGCGGUCCUCCCCUUCCAUCUCGUGUCAUAUGCAAUGAAUAAACAGAUGAAAAGGAG
This 3848-nucleotide long non-coding RNA is filed under the name Xyrichtys novacula (pearly razorfish). Lineage: Eukaryota; Metazoa; Chordata; Actinopteri; Labriformes; Labridae. The record is from RNAcentral.